UGCAAGUCGAGCGGUAACAGGAAUUAGCUUGCUAAUUUGCUGACGAGCGGCGGACGGGUGAGUAACGCGUAGGAAUCUGCCUGGUAGUGGGGGACAACAUGUGGAAACGCAUGCUAAUACCGCAUACGCCCUACGGGGGAAAGGAGGGGAUCUUCGGACCUUUCGCUAUCAGAUGAGCCUGCGUGAGAUUAGCUGGUUGGUGGGGUAAAGGCUCACCAAGGCGACGAUCUCUAGCUGGUCUGAGAGGAUGAUCAGCCACACUGGGACUGAGACACGGCCCAGACUCCUACGGGAGGCAGCAGUGGGGAAUAUUGGACAAUGGGGGCAACCCUGAUCCAGCCAUGCCGCGUGUGUGAAGAAGGCCUUAGGGUUGUAAAGCACUUUCAGGAGUGAGGAAGGGUGUACGGUUAAUACCCGUAUAUUUUGACGUUAACUCCAGAAGAAGCACCGGCUAACUCCGUGCCAGCAGCCGCGGUAAUACGGAUGGUGCGAGCGUUAAUCGGAAUUACUGGCCGUAAAGCGCGCGUAGGCGGCUAAGUCAGUCAGAAGUGAAAGCCCCGGGCUCAACCUGGGAAUUGCUUUUGAUACUGCUUAGCUAGAGUUUGGUAGAGGAUAGUGGAAUUCCAGGUGUAGCGGUGAAAUGCGUAGAUAUCUGGAGGAACAUCAGUGGCGAAGGCGACUGUCUGGACCAAAACUGACGCUGAGGUGGGAAAGCGUGGGUAGCAAACAGGAUUAGAUACCCUGGUAGUCCACGCCGUAAACGAUGUCAACUAGCCGUCGGGUCUAUUUACAGACUUGGUGGCGAAGCUAACGCGAUAAGUUGA
RNAcentral lists this ribosomal RNA (824 nucleotides) under uncultured Gammaproteobacteria bacterium. RNAcentral's name for it is "bacterial SSU rRNA". It matches the Rfam family "Bacterial small subunit ribosomal RNA", at positions 56 to 868 of the family's 1533-position model. The record is from RNAcentral. Lineage: Bacteria; Pseudomonadati; Pseudomonadota; Gammaproteobacteria.